AGGAAGCCAACACAGACACAGGAAGAACCUGGACUGCCCCACCUGGGGAUCGAACUCAGGACCUUCUUCCUGUGAGAUUCUCUACGCUUCUAGUUGCUCCCAUCCAUCUAACCCUACAGAUUACUAUGGCAUUUCCAGCUGUCAAAUUUAAUUUGGCUUUAAUUCUUCAUGGCAUGGAUGAGGAGGGUUCCGAGAGUGCUGACGGUCUCUUUCGCCUCUGGUUCAGAUAACGUGCAGCGGUAGCAGUGGCGCAGAGGAAGGCAGGCGGCGGGGUCGAGGAACAGGAGAGCAAUAACGGCGCGUGAGGAAGAUGUAUUCGCUGGUACAGAGGAAGAGAUGGCUCUCCGCUCUAAUCUGAUGGAGUGCCGCAGGAGCGCUCUUUUUCUCUUUCGGGACGAGUGCUUAAGCGCUCCAUCAGCCAGCUCUGAGGGAUGAACAAACCAUACAGCACAGUGCUGGGUCUGUCACAUGAUCCCAGUGCAGCCCAGAGCUGAAAGGCCAAACUAGAAUGUGGUCCACUUUAUCUACUGCAUGCA
Molecule: long non-coding RNA, 536 nt
Organism: Trichomycterus rosablanca
Lineage: Eukaryota; Metazoa; Chordata; Actinopteri; Siluriformes; Trichomycteridae
Exons: 4
Source: RefSeq, a predicted model, not a curated record